AGUAGGGUCAGCUAAUUUAAGCUCUUGGGCCCAUGCCCCGAACAUGUAGGUUAAAUUCCUGCCUCUGCUA
This 70-nucleotide transfer RNA is filed under the name Trachurus symmetricus (Pacific jack mackerel). RNAcentral's name for it is "tRNA-Met". It matches the Rfam family "tRNA". Rfam says of the family: Transfer RNA (tRNA) molecules are approximately 80 nucleotides in length. Their secondary structure includes four short double-helical elements and three loops (D, anti-codon, and T loops). The record is from RNAcentral. Lineage: Eukaryota; Metazoa; Chordata; Actinopteri; Carangiformes; Carangidae.